CACCUAAGCGUACACGGUGGAUGCCCUGGCAGUCAGAGGCGAUGAAGGGCGUGCUAAUCUGCGAUAAGCGCCGGUAAGGUGAUAUGAACCGUUAUAACCGGCGAUACCCGAAUGGGGAAACCCAGUGUGAUUCGUCACACUAUCAUUAACUGAAUCCAUAGGUUAAUGAGGCGAACCGGGGGAACUGAAACAUCUAAGUACCCCGAGGAAAAGAAAUCAACCGAGAUUCCCCCA
Molecule: ribosomal RNA, 234 nt
Filed under: Salmonella enterica subsp. enterica serovar Hadar
Lineage: Bacteria; Pseudomonadati; Pseudomonadota; Gammaproteobacteria; Enterobacterales; Enterobacteriaceae
Description: partial 23S ribosomal RNA
Rfam family: Bacterial large subunit ribosomal RNA
Source: RNAcentral